AUAGUUCCAAACCAGUUUGAGCUACAAAGUGAAACCUUGUCUCAAAAACCAAACAAGAGCUGUUUCGGUGGAGUGCUUAUUGGGUAUCAUAAGGACUGGGAGUUUGGUUUGGCUAUCAUCACUCCAGGAAAGAGAACAGAUCUUCAACCCCAGCUCCAGCUGAGACCUGAGGGCUUGCUGGCUUGCAGCUUAGCUAACAAAAGGCAAAAGGGGAGCCGCAGAUUCAGGGAGAAACUCAAUCUUAAAGGAGUAGAUGACAUUGUAGAGGAGAUCACCCAAAGGCCCCUCUGGCCUCUGCUUAAGAGAGAGAGGUGCUUACCAUCACACACUUAUGCCCAUACAUUCCACACAAGUAUAUGCAUAACUCUAAAAUAAAUCUAUUUUUUAAAAAGUUGGGCAUGGUGUCAUAAGCCUAAAAUUGUGGUAGCACUUAGAUAGUUGAGACCAGAGUCAAUCAAACAAAAAACCAAAUACCUUCUUCUAAUGGCGUGGCCAGGUGAGCAGUUUCUUUACUGUACCUCUGGCAUACAGGAAAGGGGAAAGGCAAUUUCAAUAGUUAUGUGUGUUAUGUGAGGGGCAAAAAUAAUAGGGAUCAUACUGUGGGACUAGGGCAAAUAAACCCAAAUCCUUCUUCUGGCCUGUUUUUCUGUUAAGUCAAAGGCAUCACUUGAUUCCAAUGCUUCCCAGAUGUAAGCUUUCUUCUUCUUUUUAAUUAUUCACUUUAUGUAUAUGAGUACACUGUAGCUGUCUUUGGACACACCAGAAGAGGGCAUUGAAUCCGACUACAGAUGGUUGUGAGCCACUGUGUGGUUGCUGGGAGUUGAACUCAGGACCGCUGGAAGAGCAGUCAAUGCUUUAUAAACCACCGAGCUAUC
Molecule: long non-coding RNA, 875 nt
Filed under: Mus spretus (western wild mouse)
Lineage: Eukaryota; Metazoa; Chordata; Mammalia; Rodentia; Muridae
Description: RIKEN cDNA 2010110E17 gene (ENSMSPG00010029696.1)
Source: RNAcentral